UGAAGACCCCCCCCCCCCCCCACCACCACCAAGCUGCCCACCAGAGGCCAAGCUGUACUUGGUGUUUGCCAACAUGCUGUAAUUUCCAGCCUGGUUGCUGUAGCCACAGAGGAAUUUUCAAGGACAAGAACCAGUGCUGGUAAAACUGUGGUCUCUGUGGUUUUCCAUACCGGCUCUCGGCAAGGAUUUUCAAGAAAGGAAUACCAUCUCCAAAUCAUGAUGUGCCAAUAAGCUCCAGUUAGCUGCGGCCUUUUCCCCAGGCGGUAGUCCUGCAAUCUGAAUCCAGGAGAUGCAGCUCUGAAUCCAAUAUUUCAGAAGAAUGAAGAUGAAGCAGACCCAGGAGGAACUGUCUGUUGAAGACCCUCCCCCCCCCCCACCACCACCAAGCUGCCCACCAGAGGCCAAGCUGUACUUGGUGUUUGCCAACAUGCUGUAAUUUCCAGCCUGGUUGCUGUAGCCACAGAGGAAUUUUCAAGGACAAGAACCAGUGCUGGUAAAACUGUGGUCUCUGUGGUUUUCCAUACCGGCUCUCGGCAAGGAUUUUCAAGAAAGGAAUACCAUCUCCAAAUCAUGAUGUGCCAAUAAGCUCCAGUUAGCUGCGGCCUUUUCCCCAGGCGGUAGUCCUGCAAUCUGAAUCCAGGAGAUGCAGCUCUGAAUCCAAUAUUUCAGAAGAAUGAAGAUGAAGCAGACCCAGGAGGAACUGUCUGUUGAAGACCCUCCCCCCCCCCACCACCACCAAGCUGCCCACCAGAGGCCAAGCUGUACUUGGUGUUUGCCAACAUGCUGUAAUUUCCAGCCUGGUUGCUGUAGCCACAGAGGAAUUUUCAAGGACAAGAACCAGUGCUGGUAAAACUGUGGUCUCUGUGGUUUUCCAUACCGGCUCUCGGCAAGGAUUUUCAAGAAAGGAAUACCAUCUCCAAAUCAUGAUGUGCCAAUAAGCUCCAGUUAGCUGCGGCCUUUUCCCCAGGCGGUAGUCCUGCAAUCUGAAUCCAGGAGAUGCAGCUCUGAAUCCAAUAUUUCAGAAGAAUGAAGAUGAAGCAGACCCAGGAGGAACUGUCUGUUGAAGACCCUCCCCCCCCCCCACCACCACCAAGCUGCCCACCAGAGGCCAAGCUGUACUUGGUGUUUGCCAACAUGCUGUAAUUUCCAGCCUGGUUGCUGUAGCCACAGAGGAAUUUUCAAGGACAAGAACCAGUGCUGGUAAAACUGUGGUCUCUGUGGUUUUCCAUACCGGCUCUCGGCAAGGAUUUUCAAGAAAGGAAUACCAUCUCCAAAUCAUGAUGUGCCAAUAAGCUCCAGUUAGCUGCGGCCUUUUCCCCAGGCGGUAGUCCUGCAAUCUGAAUCCAGGAGAUGCAGCUCUGAAUCCAAUAUUUCAGAAGAAUGAAGAUGAAGCAGACCCAGGAGGAACUGUCUGUUGAAGACCCUCCCCCCCCCCACCACCACCAAGCUGCCCACCAGAGGCCAAGCUGUACUUGGUGUUUGCCAACAUGCUGUAAUUUCCAGCCUGGUUGCUGUAGCCACAGAGGAAUUUUCAAGGACAAGAACCAGUGCUGGUAAAACUGUGGUCUCUGUGGUUUUCCAUACCGGCUCUCGGCAAGGAUUUUCAAGAAAGGAAUACCAUCUCCAAAUCAUGAUGUGCCAAUAAGCUCCAGUUAGCUGCGGCCUUUUCCCCAGGCGGUAGUCCUGCAAUCUGAAUCCAGGAGAUGCAGCUCUGAAUCCAAUAUUUCAGAAGAAUGAAGAUGAAGCAGACCCAGGAUGAACUGUCUGUUGAAGACCCCCCCCCCCACCACCACCACCAAGCUGCCCACCAGAGGCCAAGCUGUACUUGGUGUUUGCCAACAUGCUGUAAUUUCCAGCCUGGUUGCUGUAGCCACAGAGGAAUUUUCAAGGACAAGAACCAGUGCUGGUAAAACUGUGGUCUCUGUGGUUUUCCAUACCGGCUCUCGGCAAGGAUUUUCAAGAAAGGAAUACCAUCUCCAAAUCAUGAUGUGCCAAUAAGCUCCAGUUAGCUGCGGCCUUUUCCCCAGGCGGUAGUCCUGCAAUCUGAAUCCAGGAGAUGCAGCUCUGAAUCCAAUAUUUCAGAAGAAUGAAGAUGAAGCAGACCCAGGAGGAACUGUCUGUUGAAGACCCCCCCCCCCCCCCCCCCCCCCCCC
Long non-coding RNA from Mya arenaria, 2153 nucleotides. RefSeq lists it as uncharacterized. NCBI's taxonomy places the organism in Eukaryota, Metazoa, Mollusca, Bivalvia, Myida, Myidae. The transcript has 19 exons. The record is from RefSeq and is a predicted model, not a curated record.